CCCUUAGAUGUUCUGGGCGGCCCGCGCACUACAAUGGCGUGUGCAGCGAGUGCCGAAGUAGAGUUUUCCGAGGUAUUCUUGCAAUGCUCGUUUUGAUGGGGAUAGACCCUUGCAACUGUUGGUUUUGAACGAGGAAUUCCUUGUAAGCAUGGUUUAUCAUCCGACGCUGAAUGCGUCCCUGCCCUUUGUACACACCGUCCGUCGCUCCUACCGAUGAGUCGUCCGGUGAAGUUCGUAGACCUCGUGAUCGCGGAUCACUGGGGGAAGCAAAAUGAACCUCGCGGUUUAGAGGAAGGAGAAGUCGUAACA
RNAcentral lists this ribosomal RNA (309 nucleotides) under uncultured eukaryote. Its description in RNAcentral is "partial 18S ribosomal RNA". It matches the Rfam family "Eukaryotic small subunit ribosomal RNA", at positions 1470 to 1796 of the family's 1831-position model. The record is from RNAcentral.